GGAUUAGAUACCCUGGUAGUCCUAGCUGUAAACGAUGGAUACUAGACGUAGGAAUUGGAUUAACGAUUUCUGUGUCGUAGCUAACGCGUUAAGUAUCCCGCCUGGGGAGUACGGCCGCAAGGCUAAAACUCAAAUGAAUUGACGGGGACCCGCACAAGCGGUGGAGCAUGUGGUUUAAUUCGAUGCAACGCGAAAAACCUUACCUACUCUUGACAUACUUGGAAGCUCUUGUAAUGAGAGUGUGCCUUUUGGAACCAAGAUACAGGUGCUGCAUGGCUGUCGUCAGCUCGUGCCG
RNAcentral lists this ribosomal RNA (295 nucleotides) under uncultured bacterium. Its description in RNAcentral is "partial 16S ribosomal RNA". It matches the Rfam family "Bacterial small subunit ribosomal RNA", at positions 775 to 1067 of the family's 1533-position model. The record is from RNAcentral.